GAGGCGGGGCCUGGGCGCGGCGGAGGCGGUGGCCCGCGCCGCGGGUCACGUGGGCUCCUGCGGCCCGGCGGCCGAGCCGGCCUGCCGCAGGGCCGGGGGCGGAGGCCGGUGCUGCCCUUUGGCGGGGAGCGCCACCGGCCCGUGGAAAGGGCACAACCCCCACGCCGCGCUUAGGGGCUUCCCCCCGCGAAAGGUCCCAGAGGACAGGACUGCUUGUUCCCCUGGUGGGCUGUGCAGAGCGCGGCGUGAGUCGCUGUUCAGGCCGACCCGGCCGGGCCUUCCCGCGCUUCCCACGCCCCGCCCACCUCCCCUCUCCUUGCCCUGGAUAAGAAUUCCCCGCAGGGAACUGGCCCCACGUAGUGUGGCCCCCGGGAGCACGGCUAAUCCCUCAUCUUCGGCCGCUUUUCAGGGACAAGGAACGCGGAAGUUCUUUCGGUUUAGCAUGUAAGGCAAGAGCGCAGAAUCAACCUCGGGUCCCUCAAUUGACAAUCUGGCAUCCGGCAACUCCCUGUCCCGAACCGCCCUUGCUCCUCGCUUGACCUCAGUCUGGUGUCCCCUCCCUCUCACGCCAUUUCCUCUCCCUCCAUUAACUGCUCUACAUUGCAAAGGGAGAGCAAAGGGGCUCUUUGAUUUGACCUUGAAUUUACCUUGCCAGGAUCCUUUUGAGUCCCGCGCGUUUCAGGAGCUUUUCAAACUUUGAAUGAAGACCCACCGUGAGAAAUAGUUUACGACUCCAGGUGAUGCUGGCCAAUGGACCAUGAAUAUGCUGGAAUGUCUAUUUUUCUAGAACUUGGCGAAACUGUGCAAUUCCCGUCUCUACCUGCGCUACUCUCAUCCACCCAGGCACAGGCCACUUCUAUUCCUUCACAAGGGCGGAGGAGACUGGGCUUGGGCCGUGUGACUUGCAUGGCCAUCAGCAAACGUGGUGCGGAGACUUGAUAGGUGAUGUACAAAAGUGAGCCCUUCCUCCUUGGAACCCAGCUGCCAUGCUUUAAGAAAGCCAGUCUAACCGGCUAGCAGAUGAGAAACUCCGCACUCUCGCUGACCAACGCCAACUUCCGGAAGUGUGAAUGAAACCGUCUUGGAUGUUUCUAUUUCGGCCCCAGGAGAGCUCCCAUCUGUUUGCAGCCGCUGAAUGAGCGACCCAGGUGAAUGAAUGACCUUGGUCAAUAUCGCCCGGAGGAGGGAAACCACCCAGCCGAGCGCAGAUAGUACACAGAAUCGUGGCACAUAAUAAAUGGUUAUUGUUUGGAGAC
Long non-coding RNA from Panthera uncia (snow leopard), 1256 nucleotides. RefSeq lists it as uncharacterized. NCBI's taxonomy places the organism in Eukaryota, Metazoa, Chordata, Mammalia, Carnivora, Felidae. The transcript is spliced from 3 exons. The record is from RefSeq and is a predicted model, not a curated record.